Molecule: ribosomal RNA, 273 nt
Filed under: uncultured bacterium
Lineage: Bacteria
Description: partial 16S ribosomal RNA
Rfam family: Bacterial small subunit ribosomal RNA
Source: RNAcentral
CCUGCCGGCGACCGGCGCACGGGUGAGUAACACGUAUGCGACCUGCCCCCGCAGGGGGAUAACCGGGAGAAAUCCCGACUAAUACCGCGUAACGUCGCGGACCUGCAUGGGUCUGCGGCCAAAGGAAGCGAUUCCGGCGGGGGAUGGGCAUGCGGCGCAUUAGCUAGUCGGCGGGGUAACGGCCCACCGAGGCGACGAUGCGUAGGGGUUCUGAGAGGAAGGUCCCCCACACUGGUACUGAGACACGGACCAGACUCCUACGGAAGGCAGCAG